Molecule: ribosomal RNA, 440 nt
Filed under: uncultured bacterium
Lineage: Bacteria
Description: partial 16S ribosomal RNA
Rfam family: Bacterial small subunit ribosomal RNA
Source: RNAcentral
CCUACGGGAGGCUGCAGUGGGGGAUAUUGCACAAUGGGGGGAACCCUGAUGCAGCGACGCCGCGUGGGUGAAGAAGCGCCUCGGCGCGUAAAGCCCUGUCAGCAGGGAAGAAAAUGACGGUACCUGAAGAAGAAGCCCCGGCUAACUACGUGCCAGCAGCCGCGGGAAUACGUAGGGGGCAAGCGUUAGCCGGAUGUACUGGGUGUAAAGGGUGCGCAGGCGGGGAUGCAAGCCAGGAGUGAAAGCCCGGGGCUCAACCCCGGGACUGCUCUGGGAACUGCGUGGCUGGAGUGCAGGAGGGGCAGGCGGAAUUCCAGGUGUAGCGGGGAAAUGCGUAGAUAUCAGGAGGAACACCAGUGGCGAAGGCGGCCUGCUGGACUGCAACUGACGUUGAGGCCCGAAAGCGUGGGGAGCAAACAGGAUUAGAUACCCUAGUAGUC